GGUUCCGAAGCCGAAGUCGUCGAGGCGCACGGUUGUCAACCGUGUCAUUAACGAGUGCGAGUCUCGUCGGAGCCGCCA
Molecule: transfer RNA, 78 nt
Filed under: Methylacidiphilales bacterium
Lineage: Bacteria; Pseudomonadati; Verrucomicrobiota; Methylacidiphilae; Methylacidiphilales
Description: Candidatus Methylacidiphilales bacterium tRNA-Asp
Source: RNAcentral